This 140-nucleotide ribosomal RNA is filed under the name uncultured bacterium. RNAcentral describes it as "partial 16S ribosomal RNA". It matches the Rfam family "Bacterial small subunit ribosomal RNA", at positions 338 to 495 of the family's 1533-position model. The record is from RNAcentral.
CCUACGGGAGGCAGCAGUGGGGAAUAUUGGACAAUGGGGGCAACCCUGAUCCAGCCAUGCCGCGUGAGUGAUGAAGGCCUUCGGGUUGUAAAGCUCUUUUGGCGGGGACGAUGAUGACGGUACCCGCAGAAUAAGCCCCG